RNAcentral lists this long non-coding RNA (1350 nucleotides) under Sus scrofa (pig). RNAcentral describes it as "lncRNA (ENSSSCG00025017272.1)". Lineage: Eukaryota; Metazoa; Chordata; Mammalia; Artiodactyla; Suidae. The record is from RNAcentral.
GCUCCGGACGUUGCUUGGAUUGGAACAGGGUCAACAGCCGGAGCUCAGCUGCUGACAAAAGCCAAGCCCUCUUUCAGGUCAGUUAUCAUGUACAGUGUCCCUCAGUUGGAAUUUGUCUGAUGUUUCCUCGUGAUUAUAUUCAGGUUUGAAACCUGAGGUUCAGUGAGCCCUUGAGAGCUGGGCCUUGAACACAGCCCCUCUCCCACACAACAGAGGUAAGGGCACGAUAUACUUCUCUUUCUGCCAAGUGUGUUAAGGGGGCCUGCCCGCUAGCAUCAUAGCUGACCUGGUAGUUUGCUGGUGUUUUUAGAUGUGAGAGGCCCAAGGGCUGCAGAGAAGAGCCUUGGACCCUGAACCUAGUGAGAAUGUGGCCCAGGAUCUCAGGAAGGUCGUCUCUCAACCUUCUUAUUUGUAAAAAUAGUAGGAAAUCAUCCAUCCUGUGGUUAUGUAAAAGAAUAUCUUUAUUCUUAAGAAGCUUAUAUAUAUAUGCCUCACCUCUGCAAAUUCUGAAUUAUUUUUACAAGGACAAUUUUAUAGUCUUUUUUAACUGAACAUCCGUUUUAUACCCUGUUGUACAUCUGGUACACAUUCCUUGUAAGUGUAAUUUUAAUGACUUCCAGCAUUCCACUUUGUGUCAUAAUUUCUAUUCUCCUGUUGAUGGACACUCAAAAGGAAGAAGGGGAUUGAUAUUAACUCAGCAUGAACUUGGUACCAGGUGCUAUCCACCACAGGCUUAGCAUUAUCUUAUUUAACCCUCACGAUCCUACUAAGAUAAAUAUUUUUACCCAUGAUGUGUGGAUGAGGAGCUUAUACUAAGCCAACCUCAUUCAACUAGGGAAGAUCCAGGAUACAAUUCCAGGCUCUGACUCCUCAGCCCACGCUGUGUCUCUGCUCGUGCUGUCCCUCAGUUUUCUUCAUACCUAAAAGCUUUCUUUUUAUCCUCCUCUAACUUCGCAGCUUUUUUUUUUUUUCACAGCUCUUUUUCUGUACUGCAGUUUCUGUUAUAUUGUUAUUAAUUCCAUGUCUCAACUCUGAGGUUGGACUAUGGACUCUUUAAGGAUAGGUUAACAGCAUGUUCAUCUCUGGAAGAGACUCACCUCAACAAGCUUAGCCCAGUGCCUUGCAUAUAGCAGAAGCUCCCAUCACUUAUUCUUUCAACAAAUCCUGUAUCUAUGGAGGGCCUAGUAUGCCCCAGGCAGUGUUCUAGAUUCUUGGGACAUGUCAGCAAUUCAGUAUACAGCGAAGCUUACAUUCUGGGGGAGGGCGAUGUAUGAUAAAGAAUGUAAGGGAGUUCCCGUUGUGGCGCAGUGGUUAACGAAUCCGACUAGGAACCAUGAGGUUGCAGGUUCG